GAACGCACAUUGCGCCCGCCAGUAUUCUGGCGGGCAUGCCUGUCCGAGCGUCAUUUCAACCCUCGAACCCCUCCGGGGGGUCGGCGUUGGGGAUCGGCCCUUUACGGGGCCGGCCCCGAAAUACAGUGGCGGUCUCGCCGCAGCCUCUCCUGCGCAGUAGUUUGCACACUCGCAUCGGGAGCGCGGCGCGUCCAAUGCCGUAAAACACCCAACUUUCUGAAAUGUUGACCUCGGAUCAGGUAGGAAUACCCGCUGAACUUA
Molecule: unclassified non-coding RNA, 261 nt
Filed under: Trichoderma spirale
Lineage: Eukaryota; Fungi; Ascomycota; Sordariomycetes; Hypocreales; Hypocreaceae
Description: sequence contains 5.8S rRNA gene
Rfam family: 5.8S ribosomal RNA (bases 1-53)
Source: RNAcentral